AAACCAGCACCCCAAGUGGUCAGGAUGAUUAUUGGGCCUAAAGCAUCCGUAGCCUGCUCUGUAAGUUUUCGGUUAAAUCUGUACGCUCAACGUACAGGCUGCCGGGAAUACUGCAGAGCUAGGGAGUGGGAGAGGUAGACGGUACUCGGGAGGAAGUGGUAAAAUGCUUUGAUCUCUCGAUGACCACCUGUGGCGAAGGCGGUCUACCAGAACACGUCCGACGGUGAGGGAUGAAAGCUGGGGGAGCAAACCGGAUUAGAAACCCCGGUAGUCC
RNAcentral lists this ribosomal RNA (274 nucleotides) under uncultured bacterium. RNAcentral describes it as "partial 16S ribosomal RNA". It matches the Rfam family "Archaeal small subunit ribosomal RNA", at positions 473 to 747 of the family's 1478-position model. The record is from RNAcentral.